UUUUACCAUUAAUGUUUCAGUGUUCUAUCCAAUUCAAAAACGACCCAGAUACUCAGAUUUUUAUCAUUUAACUUAACUUGGCAAAACUCAAGAUUGUUACCAAAAAGAAUUUCAAAGCUGUUUUUUUCCCAAGUAUACAGACCAUAAAACAGUUAUUAUACCCACUUUUAUCUAUUUAAACCGUUUGUUUCCAACAAUUAUGUUCAGAUUACCUACAAAAACAUCACUUGAGACAUUAGACAAAACUGGUCAUCAUUUAAACCUAUUAUUUUGCUGACAAAUUUCUAACAGACAACGUGAACUUAUUUGACUAGUAAACCCAGGCUGCAUGCCUGCAUCGUAUGCAAAUACCGACAACUCUGACAACAAGACUAUUUUCAAUCAAACCAACAAACUUAAACAAGCUUUCAUUUACCAAAGGUUAAUUCACAUCGCGUUAACUUGAAAGACAUUGGAUUAAUUUCUACUACAUUUAGAAUUUAUGUAAGGGCUUACUUUAAGCCAAUUAAACAGAGCUCUUAAUUUUGGCAAUACCAUCGGGAGGUAAAAUAUCACACAUAUAACGUACACAUAGACACACGUACACAGAGACUACACAGCUAUUGUUUUCUUUUACCAAUAUUUGUGGAGAAGAUACUCAAGAUGCUAGAUUUUUUGCAAGGGCACGCUUAUGGCCGUUUUGCCUUUCCCCUCCUCUCUUUUUUCCUUUUUUUUUUUUUUUGCUUCAGUCUUAGGAAUUAGUGAUGGGGUUAGAUAGUAGUUCCUGGAGAGGGAAGAUGAUAAUCCUUUUUGUGAUAAAGGAACUAGGUGGAGUCCGAACUGCCUCUAGAGCUGUAUUUCCAGUCUUGCAAGGAUUUCCUAAGGACAGUUGGUCUUGAUUUCCCAGAAACUGGAUUGUAACUCAAACUACAUUCCAGGUUGAUCUACCUGUCCAACUGCAUCACAAAGACACAGAGAAACCCCUCAAGUUUUCUCCCAGAUGGAGUUAGAAUGCAUCCGCAGGGUGGGUCUCUGGGGAUGCUUAGGGGCCUUCCCUGUGGCAGUAAAGCCAGUGUCUGACAGACAGCAGCUGGAGAAAGGGUGCAGAGGCCGAUGGCGGGUGUUGACAUAGCUAUAAGAUUUAGUCAAGUCCCGCUCAGCCUGGGCACUUUGUCUCUGAGCCGGCACAGUUGAGGCAGGGAAGCAGGAGAAAAAGGCCUGGAACUGGCUGGAGGCACUCCCAGUGCCAAGGUUGAGAGUUAAGUCCCUGGCAAAAGGCUUAAGUUUUUUCGAUUUUACAAACGGUCCAGGUUCUGGUCAGGUUCAGCCUGAACUUAACCUAGACUUGGUGACAACAAAGGAGGUGAUGAAUGAAACAGACAAAGAAAGGUAAAGAAGAGAUCAGACCUCGCCCUCCUGGCCUCUUCCAGAGGGUUAUCAAGAUAAGAGUCACACAACAGUUCCCGUGCUGGGACACACUAUGCUAGCACGACAGUUCACAGAAUGACUCACAGGUCUCCUACCCUCAUAACCGACUCAGUAGGUGACUAAAAUAAUGAGUCAACCGUCAAGAGAGGGCACCCCCACUUAGGGUUGCUGGGGUGAUCAGGCCGAAUUGACGAGUAGGAUCUUAACAGUGACUCAACCAAAGCUUAACCAAGGACAAAGAGAGCCAAGCUCUCAAGACAAACUUUCCCAGAGCCCCAGUCUAUGUGACCGGCCGCCAAGAUACGUGCCGGUACAUGCAUCCUCUGAUGGCGGAGACCAGAAAGGUCACAAAAACAAGCUCUCAAGACAUAGAACAAGACAAAAAGCCCAGACAACAGGCUUAUAGAGAUGCCUGUGUCUUAUGACAAACAAAAAGACAGAGACAAGGAAAAGUCUAUCUCUGGGAGGAAAAGGAUCUAAAACCAGUGAGUACUCAAAUCGUAUAGUUGCUGAAUCCGAGAAGCUAGCCUCACCAACAUUUUCUCCUGCUAAUCUAAAUUUAGAAGAGCAAAAAAAACCUCACCAUUCUUGCUUCCAUUGGAGCCUGCAGGCAGAGAUCCGGGAGACUGACGUGGUAAGAACUCUCACCUCUUGCCGGCUCUCGUCAGGGGUCCGGGAUCUCUUGGCCGCAGCAGUCCAGGAGCAGCAGUUACCAGCCAGUGAAAU
This 2133-nucleotide long non-coding RNA is filed under the name Equus caballus (horse). RNAcentral describes it as "lncRNA (ENSECAG00000055402.1)". The record is from RNAcentral. Lineage: Eukaryota; Metazoa; Chordata; Mammalia; Perissodactyla; Equidae.